CACACCAGCCAGCAUUUAUAUCUCGGUCCUCUUCGCUAGCGGACGCACACUGCACGAAUAAGAGUAUGUAAAGGAGAGAGAAAAUGAGUGAGCGCAUGGAAGGAAUUUGGCAACCUGGUAGAUUCUCAAUCAUUCUCAAUGAUUCUGCAAUUUGUUAUGAUUUGUUAAAAAGAAAAAAGCGGACGUAUUCUCCAAAUGCAAAGUAUGCAAAUUUGCUGCUGCUGACUCGGACGCUGACGGCGGCGUCAGCGCCUGCGUCUGCGCUAACGACUUGAACAAAGAAACCAAAGGAGCGCCCAGGCCCGGGCAGAACAAAGAGCUACACAGACAGCUAUUCAGAGAGAAAGAGAGAAGAGGGAAAUGCACCAGACAACAAAGAGAUCUAAAACACCCCCGGCCGCCUGCUAGGAGGCGUCCCGGCCAAAAAUUAAUUAGCAUUAUAAUUAAGAUAUUUGUCAACGACUCUUCUCCUCUCGACACCUAACUGUAAUUAAUUUAAUAAUAUCGAAGCAGAAACCAAAACAGAAACGAAGAAGCACAACAAUUCACAGUUCACCGAACCACAAAAAAAAACAAAAGAACGAAGAAACGCGGUGGCGGUUGCGGUUGCGGUGGCAGUGGCGGAGAAGGGAAAGGUGAAGCUUCAAAAGCUAUUCGUCACACACACACACACAUCUUAUUCUGUCAGUACUUUGAGCGUCUGCCUCUUCCCCACACUUUUUGUUUUUGCCAACGAAAAAUCAGAAACCAAAGCGCGCUGCUCGAAGCGAAACGAACGAAUGAGCGGCGACGCGACGCCGUCUCCGCUGGUAGAGUAUUGUAUUGGCCUGACAGCGGCGCUGGCAGUGGCAGCACCAGCAGCAGGUGGUCGAGACAUCAGCAGCGACGAUAAAGGACAAAUAUGAUAUGCAAAGUGCAACAAUGGCAAAAAUUUAAACGCAUAAUGCGUGCUCAAUGAACAAACAAAUUACGUACAAUUUGCAAAUUCAAUAAAGACGACUGACCGACGAACGUAAACAGAAGUAGCUAAAGCAGAAAAUGAAGAAGAAAAAGUAAGAGCAAAAUUAAAUACAUUGGAUAACAUUAA
Long non-coding RNA from Drosophila pseudoobscura, 1087 nucleotides. RefSeq lists it as uncharacterized. The record is from RefSeq and is a predicted model, not a curated record. The transcript has 3 exons. Lineage: Eukaryota; Metazoa; Arthropoda; Insecta; Diptera; Drosophilidae.